UACGUAGGGUCCGAGCGUUGUCCGGAAUUAUUGGGCGUAAAGAGCUCGUAGGCGGUCUGUCGCGUCGGCUGUGAAAACUCAGGGCUCAACCCUGAGCCUGCAGUCGAUACGGGCAGACUAGAGUUCGGUAGGGGAGACUGGAAUUCCUGGUGUAGCGGUGAAAUGCGCAGAUAUCAGGAGGAACACCGGUGGCGAAGGCGGGUCUCUGGGCCGAAACUGACGCUGAGGAGCGAAAGCGUGGGGAGCAAACGGG
RNAcentral lists this ribosomal RNA (253 nucleotides) under uncultured bacterium. RNAcentral's name for it is "partial 16S ribosomal RNA". It matches the Rfam family "Bacterial small subunit ribosomal RNA", at positions 524 to 776 of the family's 1533-position model. The record is from RNAcentral.